Molecule: ribosomal RNA, 2262 nt
Filed under: Escherichia coli
Lineage: Bacteria; Pseudomonadati; Pseudomonadota; Gammaproteobacteria; Enterobacterales; Enterobacteriaceae
Description: partial 23S ribosomal RNA
Rfam family: Bacterial large subunit ribosomal RNA
Source: RNAcentral
GUUGCAGGGUAUAGACCCGAAACCCGGUGAUCUAGCCAUGGGCAGGUUGAAGGUUGGGUAACACUAACUGGAGGACCGAACCGACUAAUGUUGAAAAAUUAGCGGAUGACUUGUGGCUGGGGGUGAAAGGCCAAUCAAACCGGGAGAUAGCUGGUUCUCCCCGAAAGCUAUUUAGGUAGCGCCUCGUGAAUUCAUCUCCGGGGGUAGAGCACUGUUUCGGCAAGGGGGUCAUCCCGACUUACCAACCCGAUGCAAACUGCGAAUACCGGAGAAUGUUAUCACGGGAGACACACGGCGGGUGCUAACGUCCGUCGUGAAGAGGGAAACAACCCAGACCGCCAGCUAAGGUCCCAAAGUCAUGGUUAAGUGGGAAACGAUGUGGGAAGGCCCAGACAGCCAGGAUGUUGGCUUAGAAGCAGCCAUCAUUUAAAGAAAGCGUAAUAGCUCACUGGUCGAGUCGGCCUGCGCGGAAGAUGUAACGGGGCUAAACCAUGCACCGAAGCUGCGGCAGCGACACUAUGUGUUGUUGGGUAGGGGAGCGUUCUGUAAGCCUGUGAAGGUGGCCUGUGAGGGUUGCUGGAGGUAUCAGAAGUGCGAAUGCUGACAUAAGUAACGAUAAAGCGGGUGAAAAGCCCGCUCGCCGGAAGACCAAGGGUUCCUGUCCAACGUUAAUCGGGGCAGGGUGAGUCGACCCCUAAGGCGAGGCCGAAAGGCGUAGUCGAUGGGAAACAGGUUAAUAUUCCUGUACUUGGUGUUACUGCGAAGGGGGGACGGAGAAGGCUAUGUUGGCCGGGCGACGGUUGUCCCGGUUUAAGCGUGUAGGCUGGUUUUCCAGGCAAAUCCGGAAAAUCAAGGCUGAGGCGUGAUGACGAGGCACUACGGUGCUGAAGCGACAAAUGCCCUGCUUCCAGGAAAAGCCUCUAAGCAUCAGGUAACAUCAAAUCGUACCCCAAACCGACACAGGUGGUCAGGUAGAGAAUACCAAGGCGCUUGAGAGAACUCGGGUGAAGGAACUAGGCAAAAUGGUGCCGUAACUUCGGGAGAAGGCACGCUGAUAUGUAGGUGAAGCGACUUGCUCGUGGAGCUGAAAUCAGUCGAAGAUACCAGCUGGCUGCAACUGUUUAUUAAAAACACAGCACUGUGCAAACACGAAAGUGGACGUAUACGGUGUGACGCCUGCCCGGUGCCGGAAGGUUAAUUGAUGGGGUUAGCGGUAACGCGAAGCUCUUGAUCGAAGCCCCGGUAAACGGCGGCCGUAACUAUAACGGUCCUAAGGUAGCGAAAUUCCUUGUCGGGUAAGUUCCGACCUGCACGAAUGGCGUAAUGAUGGCCAGGCUGUCUCCACCCGAGACUCAGUGAAAUUGAACUCGCUGUGAAGAUGCAGUGUACCCGCGGCAAGACGGAAAGACCCCGUGAACCUUUACUAUAGCUUGACACUGAACAUUGAGCCUUGAUGUGUAGGAUAGGUGGGAGGCUUUGAAGUGUGGACGCCAGUCUGCAUGGAGCCGACCUUGAAAUACCACCCUUUAAUGUUUGAUGUUCUAACGUGGGCCCCUUACCGGGGUUGCGGACAGUGUCUGGUGGGUAGUUUGACUGGGGCGGUCUCCUCCUAAAGAGUAACGGAGGAGCACGAAGGUUGGCUAAUCCUGGUCGGACAUCAGGAGGUUAGUGCAAUGGCAUAAGCCAGCUUGACUGCGAGCGUGACGGCGCGAGCAGGUGCGAAAGCAGGUCAUAGUGAUCCGGUGGUUCUGAAUGGAAGGGCCAUCGCUCAACGGAUAAAAGGUACUCCGGGGAUAACAGGCUGAUACCGCCCAAGAGUUCAUAUCGACGGCGGUGUUUGGCACCUCGAUGUCGGCUCAUCACAUCCUGGGGCUGAAGUAGGUCCCAAGGGUAUGGCUGUUCGCCAUUUAAAGUGGUACGCGAGCUGGGUUUAGAACGUCGUGAGACAGUUCGGUCCCUAUCUGCCGUGGGCGCUGGAGAACUGAGGGGGGCUGCUCCUAGUACGAGAGGACCGGAGUGGACGCAUCACUGGUGUUCGGGUUGUCAUGCCAAUGGCACUGCCCGGUAGCUAAAUGCGGAAGAGAUAAGUGCUGAAAGCAUCUAAGCACGAAACUUGCCCCGAGAUGAGUUCUCCCUGACUCCUUGAGAGUCCUGAAGGAACGUUGAAGACGACGACGUUGAUAGGCCGGGUGUGUAAGCGCAGCGAUGCGUUGAGCUAACCGGUACUAAUGAACCGUGAGGCUUAACCUUACAACGCCGAAG